RNAcentral lists this ribosomal RNA (253 nucleotides) under uncultured bacterium. RNAcentral's name for it is "partial 16S ribosomal RNA". It matches the Rfam family "Bacterial small subunit ribosomal RNA", at positions 524 to 776 of the family's 1533-position model. The record is from RNAcentral.
CACAGAGGUCCCAAGCGUUGUUCGGAUUGAUUGGGCGUAAAGCGCACGUAGGCGGGUUCAUAAGUCGAAUGUGAAAGCCCUAGGCUCAACCUAGGAAUUGCAUCCGAAACUGUGGGUCUUGAAUACUCGAGAGGCUGGUGGAAUACCUGGUGUAGGAGUGAAAUCCGUAGAUAUCAGGUGGAAUAUCGGAGGCGAAGGCGGCCGGCUGGUGAUGUAUUGACGCUGAGGUGCGAAAGCGUGGGGAGCAAACAGG